RNAcentral lists this ribosomal RNA (453 nucleotides) under Paramunida curvata. Its description in RNAcentral is "partial 16S ribosomal RNA". It matches the Rfam family "Bacterial large subunit ribosomal RNA", at positions 1946 to 2597 of the family's 2925-position model. Lineage: Eukaryota; Metazoa; Arthropoda; Malacostraca; Decapoda; Munididae. The record is from RNAcentral.
CUGUGCAAAGGUAGCAUAAUCAUUAGCUUUUUAAUUGAAGGCUUGUAUGAAGGGUCUGACAAAGGAAAAGCUGUCUUUAGUUUUAAUUUUGAAUUUGACUUUUAAGUGAAAAGGCUUAGUUGAAUUUAAGGGACGAUAAGACCCUAUAAAUCUUUAUAUUAUAUUAUUGUAUUAAAAUAUUAAUUGAUUGUCUAGAUUAAUAAAUAAAAUGAUAAAUAUUUUGUUGGGGUGAUGAGAAUAUAAAAUUAACUGUUCUAAAAAAAAACAAAGUUGUUUGUUUAAAUAUUAAUAGAUCCUUUAUAGAGAUUUAAAGUUAAAGUUACUUUAGGGAUAACAGCGUUAUUUUUUUUGAGAGUUCUUAUCGAAAAAAAAGUUUGCGACCUCGAUGUUGAAUUAAAAUUUCCCUAUGGUGUAGAAGUUAUAGGAGAAAGUCUGUUCGACUUUUGAAAUUUU